This 545-nucleotide ribosomal RNA is filed under the name uncultured Cryptophyta. RNAcentral describes it as "SSU rRNA". It matches the Rfam family "Eukaryotic small subunit ribosomal RNA", at positions 597 to 1153 of the family's 1831-position model. Lineage: Eukaryota; Cryptophyceae. The record is from RNAcentral.
GCGUAUAUUAAAGUUGUUGCAGUUAAAAAGCUCGUAGUCGGAUGUCGGGCUCGGGCAGGCUGUCGGCUUCGGUCGGACGGCAGGCUCGGGUCUUUCUGCCUGAGGAUCCCGUUGCACUUAAUUGUGGGGCGUGGGGACGCAGGCCGUUUACUUUGAAAAAAUUAGAGUGUUCAAAGCAGGCCUACGCUUGAAUACAUUAGCAUGGAAUAAUGGAAUAGGACUUUGGUGCUAUUUUGUUGGUUUAUGGGACCGAAGUAAUGAUUAACAGGGACAGUUGGGGCUGUUUAUAUUUCGUUGUCAGAGGUGAAAUUCUUGGAUUUACGAAAGAUAAACUUCUGCGAAAGCAUUCGGCAAGGAUGUUUUCAUUGAUCAAGAACGAAAGUUAGGGGAUCGAAGACGAUCAGAUACCGUCGUAGUCUUAACCAUAAACUAUGCCGACUAGGGAUCAGUGGAUGUCAAUUUGCGACUCCAUUGGCACCUAGUGAGAAAUCAAAGUUUUUGGGUUCCGGGGGGAGUAUGGUCGCAAGGCUGAAACUUAAAGGAAU